RNAcentral lists this ribosomal RNA (492 nucleotides) under uncultured bacterium. RNAcentral describes it as "partial 16S ribosomal RNA". It matches the Rfam family "Bacterial small subunit ribosomal RNA", at positions 29 to 507 of the family's 1533-position model. The record is from RNAcentral.
AGUGAACGCUGGCGGUAGGCCUAACACAUGCAAGUCGAACGGCAGCACAGUAAGAGCUUGCUCUUACGGGUGGCGAGUGGCGGACGGGUGAGGAAUACAUCGGAAUCUACUUUUUCGUGGGGGAUAACGUAGGGAAACUUACGCUAAUACCGCAUACGACCUACGGGUGAAAGCAGGGGAUCUUCGGACCUUGCGCGAUUGAAUGAGCCGAUGUCGGAUUAGCUAGUUGGCGGGGUAAAGGCCCACCAAGGCGACGAUCCGUAGCUGGUCUGAGAGGAUGAUCAGCCACACUGGAACUGAGACACGGUCCAGACUCCGACGGGAGGCAGCAGUGGGGAAUAUUGGGCAAUGGGCGCAAGCCUGAUCCAGCCAUACCGCGUGGGUGAAGAAGGCCUUCGGGUUGUAAAGCCCUUUUGUUGGGAAAGAAAAGCAGCAGGUUAAUACCCCGCUGUUCUGACGGUACCCAAAGAAUAAGCACCGGCUAACUUCGUG